RNAcentral lists this ribosomal RNA (459 nucleotides) under uncultured bacterium. Its description in RNAcentral is "partial 16S ribosomal RNA". It matches the Rfam family "Bacterial small subunit ribosomal RNA", at positions 338 to 795 of the family's 1533-position model. The record is from RNAcentral.
CCUACGGGAGGCAGCAGUGAGGAAUAUUGGUCAAUGGGCGGAAGCCUGAACCAGCCAAGUCGCGUGAGGGAUUAAGGCCCUGCGGGUCGUAAACCUCUUUUGCCGGGGAGCAGAGGUCCGGACGUGUCCGGGCCGGGAGAGUACCCGGAGAAAAGCAUCGGCUAACUCCGUGCCAGCAGCCGCGGUAAUACGGAGGAUGCGAGCGUUAUCCGGAUUUAUUGGGUUUAAAGGGUGCGUAGGCGGGCAUUUAAGCCGGCGGUCAAAUGUCGGGGCUCAACCCCGGCCUGCCGUCGGAACUGGGUGCGGUGAGUGGGCGAGAGGUAUGCGGAAGGGGUGGGGUAGCGGUGAAAUGCAGAGAGAUCACGCAGAACCCAGAGUGCGAAGGCAGCAUACCGGCGCCCUACUGACGCUGAAGCUCGAAAGGGCGGGUAUCGAACAGGAUUAGAUACCCUUGUAGUC